CUUUGGGUGUUGGAUAAGGGUCAUUGAAAUGUAGCAGUCUUGGCUGUGUUAUAGUCUUUGACUUGGAUACAAUGCUUGGGAUUGAGGAAUGCAGUAAGCCAUUUAUUUGGUGGGACAAUUUAUUGUUCUUCUUACUGAGGAUGUUGGUGCAAUAGCUUUAAUUGACCCGUCUUGAAACACGGACCAAGGAGUCUAACAUGCUUGCGAGUAUUUGGGUGUUGAAACCCUCAUGCGUAAUGAAAGUAAAUGCAAAUGGGAUCUGUAAAAAGUGCACCAUUGACCAGUCCUGAUUAUUUAUAUGAAGGUACUGAGUAAGAGCAAGUAUGUUGGGACCCGAAAGAUGGUGAACUAUGCCUGAAUAGGGUGAAGCCAGAGGAAACUCUGGUGGAAGCUCGUAGCGGUUCUGACGUGCAAAUCGAU
RNAcentral lists this ribosomal RNA (420 nucleotides) under Gymnosporangium globosum. Its description in RNAcentral is "eukaryotic LSU rRNA". It matches the Rfam family "Eukaryotic large subunit ribosomal RNA", at positions 482 to 902 of the family's 3401-position model. Lineage: Eukaryota; Fungi; Basidiomycota; Pucciniomycetes; Pucciniales; Gymnosporangiaceae. The record is from RNAcentral.